This 497-nucleotide ribosomal RNA is filed under the name uncultured bacterium. RNAcentral describes it as "partial 16S ribosomal RNA". It matches the Rfam family "Bacterial small subunit ribosomal RNA", at positions 28 to 507 of the family's 1533-position model. The record is from RNAcentral.
GAUGAACGCUGGCGGCGUGCCUAAUACAUGCAAGUCGAGCGAACAGACGAGGAGCUUGCUCCUCUGACGUUAGCGGCGGACGGGUGAGUAACACGUGGAUAACCUACCUAUAAGACUGGGAUAACUUCGGGAAACCGGAGCUAAUACCGGAUAAUAUAUUGAACCGCAUGGUUCAAUAGUGAAAGACGGUUUUGCUGUCACUUAUAGAUGGAUCCGCGCCGCAUUAGCUAGUUGGUAAGGUAUCGGCUUACCAAGGCAACGAUGCGUAGCCGACCUGAGAGGGUGAUCGGCCACACUGGAACUGAGACACGGUCCAGACUCCUACGGGAGGCAGCAGUAGGGAAUCUUCCGCAAUGGGCGAAAGCCUGACGGAGCAACGCCGCGUGAGUGAUGAAGGUCUUCGGAUCGUAAAACUCUGUUAUUGGGGAAGAACAAAUGUGUAAGUAACUAUGCACGUCUUGACGGUACCUAAUCAGAAAGCCACGGCUAACUACGUG